Molecule: ribosomal RNA, 397 nt
Filed under: uncultured bacterium
Lineage: Bacteria
Description: bacterial SSU rRNA
Rfam family: Bacterial small subunit ribosomal RNA
Source: RNAcentral
GACGAACGCUGGCGGCGUGCUUAACACAUGCAAGUCGAGCGGUAAGGCCCUUUCGGGGUACGACGAGCGGCGAACGGGUGAGUAACACGUGGGUGACCUGCCCUCAGUUCUGGGAGUAAGCCUGGGAAACCGGGUCUAAUACUGGAUAUGACCUCAUGACGCAUGUUGUGGGGUGGAAAGCCUUGUGCGACUGAGGAUGGGCCCGCGGCCUAUCAGCUUGUUGGUGGGGUGAUGGCCUACCAAGGCGACGACGGGUAGCCGGCCUGAGAGGGCGACCGGCCACACUGGGACUGAGACACGGCCCAGACUCCUACGGGAGGCAGCAGUGGGGAAUCUUGCGCAAUGGGCGAAAGCCUGACGCAGCGACGCCGCGUGAGGGAUGACGGCCUGGUGUAAC